RNA transcript from Sinocyclocheilus grahami, 3271 nucleotides. It is a transcript of the gene named E3 ubiquitin-protein ligase MARCH2, with no coding region annotated. The record is from RefSeq and is a predicted model, not a curated record. Lineage: Eukaryota; Metazoa; Chordata; Actinopteri; Cypriniformes; Cyprinidae. The transcript is spliced from 6 exons.
CACGGCGCUAAUCGGAGGCUGAGCCGAGUCGUCUGCUGGAAGGAUCAAACCCAAAACAAGGCUUGUACUUUUACCUUACCGUUUGCAAACAAGCGUCACUUUUAAAAGGAAUUCACCCUUAAAGGCAGCAGUUCAGCAUGGAAAACCAGAAGUGGUAGGGUCUUUGUGACUUGAGGUGUGGGAGCAAGGCUGCUCCCUGAUUCCCCCCGGUGCUCCCCUGCCCCCCGCCCUCCUGGACGGCCCCGAAAUGACCACAGGGGAGUGUUGCCACCUCCCAGGCUCCCUGUGCGACUGCACUGGCAACGCUGCCCUGUCUAAAACCGUGGAGGAGGCUGACAACCGCCGGGCCCAGUACGUCACCCAGGUCACGGCCAAAGAUGGACGUCUACUAUCUACUGUUAUCAAAGCCCUGGGCACCCAGAGCGAUCGGCCGAUUUGUCGGAUCUGCCACGAGGGUCAAGAUGUGUGCAAUAGCGAGGGGCUUCUCUCCCCAUGCGACUGCACCGGCACAUUGGGCACGGUCCACAAGAGCUGCCUGGAGAAGUGGCUGUCCUCCUCUAACACCAGCUACUGUGAGCUGUGCCACACUGAGUUUACCAUAGAGCGCCGGCCCCGACCCCUCACAGAGUGGCUCAGGGACCCGGGCCCCCGGAAUGAGAAGCGCACCCUCUUCUGUGACAUGGUGUGCUUCCUGUUUAUAACGCCCCUGGCAGCCAUCUCAGGCUGGCUGUGUCUACGGGGGGCACAGGACCACCUGCACUUCAACAGUCGCCUGGAGGCAGUUGGCCUCAUCGCUCUGACCAUCGCACUCUUCACCAUCUACGUCCUCUGGACACUGGUCUCAUUCCGCUACCACUGUCAGUUGUACUCGGAGUGGAGACGAACCAAUCAGAAAGUCCUCUUGCUCAUUCCUGACACCAAGGGUGCACACUCUACCCAGCAUUCCUUGCUUUCCACAAAGCUGCUGAAAAAGACAGCAGACGAGACCAUAGUAUGAGAGACGUGGUUUGGGGGAGCGGGGCCCGAUCGGGGUGGUAUUAGUGUGCUACAGGUUCUUGACACAGCGUCGUCAACUAGAGCCGCGGCAUUUUGGAUGCAUUCUUUUCUAUUUAAUCCUUUUUAUCUAAAUAUGUGAGCACUUCAUUUAUUUUAUUUUAAUGUUUUUUUUCCAAGCCUUUAUAAGUGUGUUGUUUUUAUUUAUUUGGGGCUUGAACAGCCAGGCUGAGGCCCCAUACUGUUCAGUAUGCAUUGUAUUUGAAACAAUCGGAAAACUAACUUAUGUGUAUAGACAAUUCCUUUGAGCACAGCGGCGAGGGAUUAUGACUCAAGUACAUACAGCUGCUGAAGCUUAAAACCAAACCUUUCUUUCAUUUUCGAUGUAUCGUUUUUCUACUCAUCUACCUUCAAGUACUUUCCAUCUUAACCUGACAGAGUUGCGCCUAAGCGAACUUAGUCUUUGUGGCUCCUAUACGAUUUAGUCAAGAUAUAAUUAUAUAAAUAUAUACACACUAAGUGAACAAGUAAGCUUUAAGCUUCGAUAGACUUGGGUGUUACAGGACCAUUUGCUUGGGCAAUGAAUGUGGAGGCUGAUGUAUAUCUGCGGAUGCUCAAGCUCAUCCGGAGGUUGGCGAAAAAAAUAGAGUGCAAUAACACGCCGCCAUUGGCAUGAUUCUGCUGUGAACACACGCAGGUUUUCAUGCAUGCCUAUUUCAUUUCGCAAAUCUCAUUAAAUUGGUGACUGUUCGUGAGUUUCAAUUUUGCGUACAGAUCAAAGCCUGUUUUUCCGAACCGAACGGUCCCCGAACAACGUAAAACAGCAUGUGAGCUGAACAAAUGUAGAUAUGUGUACACUUUUGGGAUGCAAAUAUGUGGCAACUUUAUAUGUUGUUGUUGAGUUGUGAUGAGUGCAGAUGCAAACAGACCUCUACAGUUCAUUGUUGAAUCAUUUUCAGAAUCAUUUUUUCCUUCGUUUUUUAGGUGAGUGUUUAAAGACGAAUGUGUAUGUGUGUUUACAGUAUGCAUUUUGUAAGCUCUGGCUCUUUGUGCUGUUUAGUUAGCAUCAAAUGCCUGAGGUUGAGGAUGGCAUACUUGGGAUUUUGUAGCAGUUUACUUUGUGAAAGAUGCAGGUCAAGCCGCAGGGGAAGACGUAAUUGUAAAGCUAAACAUCAUUGCCAGACCAGUAACGAAACCGUCGUCCAUGAAUGACACUACAGUAUUUAAGCAAAGGUGUCUUUUAGCUGUGUCAUAUUGGUGCAAGAAGAAUCUGCAGAACACCAACCCUCCGAUCUUUUCAUUCCCUACGGUUAUGUACCAUCUGAAAGUGUGAGAAUGGGAUAGGCAGUAUCGUAAUAAUUGCACAUUUGCCACUCUUAAUGUGGACCCUUUUGCGCCUUAUGCACUCGCUGUGGAAGAUCUAUGUCUAGAAAAGAUUUGCGCAAAAUUUUGGCGGUAAAGUUCACUGAGGGCAUUGUUCACCUGAUGAUGAAAAUGUCGUUAUUUAUUCACCCUAAUGUCACUUCAAACUUUACUGCUGUUAUUUUAAUCGUAGAACAAUUUUGGUGAAUCAUUUCCGGAACGCAUACAAUGACAAUUUGUAGUGACCUUGUCUGUCAAGCUUCAAGAUCGCAAUGAAAGCGGUUCAUAUGAAACAUGAACCCUUUUACAAGUUCAUUCAAUAGUUUCGUGCAAGAACCUGAAAGAAAUAAAAGUGGUAAUCUUCUCCAAAGCUCUAAAAUCUCACUUACGUUCAGAUUCUGUAAUGGUUGAUUUGCCACGCCUAGUUUAUUUGUGAAAGACUUUUAAGUGAAUCGCCACUUAAAAAAUUAGCUUCGUAUGACUUCAGUUGGAAUAUAGUGUGCAAGCCGUAUAGACCACAUGGAAUUUUUUUUUUUUACUUUCUAGAAAAGAUUAUGGUGAAAAUUCUUCAGAUGUUAAUGGAAGCUUGGUUCCAGGAUGGGAUUAAAAAAUUGUACAAAAAAUGAUUAAAAAAAAUUAAAAAGUUGUAUAUCUCACAAUUCUGUUUUGUUGGACAAUACCAGCAGUACUUAAUAAACAGUAUAAAAUUUUUCAGUUCAGUUCAAUUCUCUGGUAUUGUUCAAUUAUAAUUAUAAAUAUGUUAUAUACCUUUUACAUUUUGUUAACCAUACAUAACUUUCUCACCACUCUGGCAAUUCUGAGAAAUUCGGAGUUGUGAGAUAUAAUUAGGAAUUGUGAGAUAUAAUUAGGAAUUCUGAGAAGAAAGGUCUGACUUGUGUGUUAACACAAUUAAGAG